GUGUCUCCAAGAUGGCCGCUUGGGGAAGGAGGCGUCUUGGCCCGGGCAGCAGUGGCGGCAGCGCCCGAGAGAGGGAACCAACAGUGUUUGUAAUGAAGAACAUCAGACUCUGAGCUGUAACCUGAAUUCUUGUCCAAAAUUCAGCACACUGGCAACGAGCACAUCAAACAGAUUGCCACUUGUCCUGUCGGCGUCUUUGAGACACACUUGCCCAUCUAGGAAAGCACAGUGCAGGGUGAGCUUGUCGGCCACAGACUGCUACAUUGUGCAUGAGAUCUACAAUGGGGAGAAUGCCCAAGACCAGUUUGAGUACGAGCUGGAGCAGGCCCUGGAAGCCCAGUACAAGUACAUUGUGAUUGAGCCCACUCGCAUCGGCGACGAGACGGCCCGCUGGAUCACCGUGGGCAACUGCCUGCACAAGACGGCCGUGCUGGCGGGCACCGCCUGCCUCUUCACCCCGUUGGCGCUGCCCUUAGAUUAUUCCCACUACAUUUCCCUGCCCGCUGGUGUGCUGAGCCUGGCCUGCUGCACCCUCUAUGGGAUCUCCUGGCAGUUUGACCCUUGCUGCAAGUACCAAGUGGAGUACGACGCCUAUAAACUGUCGCGCCUGCCUCUGCACACACUCACCUCCUCCACCCCGGUGGUGCUGGUCCGGAAGGACGACCUGCACAGAAAGAGACUGCACAACACGAUAGCACUGGCCGCCCUGGUGUACUGUGUAAAGAAGAUUUACGAACUCUAUGCCGUAUGAUUUCAGUAGAACAGGGAGCGAAGCAAAACCACCCGGCCCACAAGAGACAACAGAGUAUUCAGAUCGCC
Molecule: small RNA, 819 nt
Filed under: Pongo abelii (Sumatran orangutan)
Lineage: Eukaryota; Metazoa; Chordata; Mammalia; Primates; Hominidae
Description: processed transcript
Source: RNAcentral